UGUCAUCAAACAAGCAAGCAACCGAGUCUCUCUCUCUCUCUCUCUCUCUCUCUUUUCUUGCAUAUUACAAAAGGCUCCUCUGUUUUUCUUGCAUAUUACUGACUGCUUGUUAUUCAUCAUGACACGUUUACAAUACUUUACAUCUACAUAUCCUUUGUGGAUUUACAAAUUGGAGUCUCUGUAUUCCCCUUCAAUAUGUAAGAAAGUGUAUGUACUGCUAGCUCCGUGAAGGCGUGAAAUACAAUGUAUAUGGUUAUGGAGUUCUUCUUUUACAAAUCCUAAGUGGCAAAAGAUCUUCAUGCUAUUAUAUACGGCCCCAACAAAAGUUUGAACCUUUUAGCAUGUGUAACUUUAAUUUAGGUUCCCUUUUCUUCGAUCCUGAAUCAGCACUUAAUUACACAACUGGUGCCACUAUAGCUGCAUACACUGUCAUGUCACAUGUAUGAUUGAAGAAGAUAUUGAAAGUAUUUUUCAUUCUCCAAUUAACUAAGAAUGCUAAUCAGCCAGUCAUCUUCAAGCUAUGCCGAGGAGAUUUCCCCGAUUGCUUUGAUAAUACAAAACAGAGAUGGUGGCAGUGAACAAAUUAAGCCGAUGCUUACUGGAACCUACCCUUGGGAGGGUCGGGGACAAUCAGACAACUUGCUUGUAUGUCUCAUCAGCGUUCUUUCAUUUAACAAUUAAUAGAGAAUAAUUGUACUGCAGAUUUUAAUUUAGCAUCUCACGAGUCAGUGUGUAGGUCAUAAUUAGCUCACUUUUACCCCCAAGGCCCUUUCGAUUUUUGAACAGGUGAGUUUGAUUAUUUCUAUGACUGCAUAAUUUCCAUUUUCCUGAGAUUCCAAUCCAUGAAGCAAGUGUUUCAACAAAGAAAAAGGCGCAAAAUUCUUAGAAACUACUGAAUAAUCAACAAAGAAAAAUUGCUUUGACUACAUCUUUCACACUACGUGGGCUGUGACCAAUUAUGGUAUGUGGGCAAGACAUACAAAAGCUUUUCACACUACGUGGCAAAGACCAAAGAGAAUUCUCUCUCGUCCCCAAUCAGCAGAAAGCUGGCAGCCCAUUGUCGAUUUAAGCCACAUAAAUUCAAUGAAGAGUCAAACAUCUCAAUUUUAGCUGAAAAGGGGUAACAUUUCAAUUCAAGUCAAUACAUUAUGUAAGAUCAAAAGAAGCAGAUGUCUCCGAGAAAACGAAUGAGUUGUUGUAUUUAAUUGUGUUGCCACGGGCUGCAAACACAGUCAUCCGUAUGAACAUGGACCAUGUGGUCGUUACGCACUGCCUGGUUCAGGCGAUCCGCAAUACUUCAGUGUUCUUUUUCUGGUCCGGAGUUGCUCCCGUCCGCUUGACCCUUAGAUUCAGUGGACCGUGAUGGUCCCACGACCAUCAUUACCUCCUAACUCAAUGACUCCAUCUUCGCUCGAGUCGAUUGGGUUCCAUUUAGAAUUGAGUAGUCCUAUUCACACAUUAAAUUAUUACUAUACUGAAUCUUGGAUUAUAUUUUAAACACCUUUUAAAAUUAAUUUCUACACUAAGCAUCUUUCUACUUAUUUUUAAAAAUCGUUUGCUUAGAUAUAAAAAAAAAUGAUAUUGCGAAUUGCCAACUAAUUCAAUUGCUUAAAUUUAUUGAUUAUUGGGUGAGAAUAAUAUAGGUGUAGAGUUUGAACUCUACUCUACUCAUAUGAAUAGGAUAGGAAAAGAAUUGAGUUAACGCCAUUAGCCAUAACUGAAAAUAUGGAAUAUGGAAUAUUCUCUCUUAACCCCCGUGCUCUUAUCUAAACACCAUGUCUUUUCUACUUUUUCUUGAGAUGAAGAAGUCAAAUUGGAAUUACUUGCCAAAGCUGUCAAAGCACGGGUAAAGCUACAGUGAAAGACUUGCGCAGGAAGCUGUUAAGCCCUAUAAAAAUAAGUCACUCGCUCCCCACUUCACUCACUUGUCACCGAAUCAAUCAAAGAAUAGAAAAAGCAACUCCUUGAAGAAAGUUCUUCUUCUCUCUCCCUCUCUGUCUUAUCUUGCUCUGUUUCUCCUCUGUUUUUUUCCUCCUCUUUUCAUUAAAAUUUAAGAAAACAUACCCAUUUCAAGCAAAUGGAACACGAAGCAUUUAAGCUCACCAAGAAGCAAAACCGCCUGCCGCCGGCGAGAGGCCAAGUUCUGAAGAAAAUAUUGAACGAUUGGUUCGGAUCAGCUGGAGGAAAGAGAAGGGGAAAUGGACUUGUUAGUAGGGAUGGCAAAAAUCUCCGCUGGAUUCCAACCCGUGGGGGUCCGGCUCAUUCCGGCCCGGUUCUCGCCCUCGAAACGCUUCAAAAAAUUUUGGGUCUGAUUUUGGGGAAAAACUUGAAGCCCAUAGAAUAAUUCAGAUGGUUUCGGGGCGGGGAUCAUUUUUGAGUAAUCCAUAAAUCUGAAACUCCUAGUGGUAGGCUUAGUAGCUCAAGCGCAUCGAACCCCGCUGAAAGUCCUAAUGGCUACAAUUCAAAUGUUGCCUCUUAGUCUUCAGUCUUGAAUCUUGAUUAGGCUAUCAACUUUAACUGGGGGCUGAUCGUGGCUCAAUUUUUCUUUCUCCUUUUUUCUUUUUUGACAUUUUGUUCUUAGACUUUCUUUUUUUUUCCUUUGGCUUGUCAUUUCUUGUAAUUGAAGAUGAUUAUGGAAGGAUGGGAUUGAUGGUUAAAUAUAGGGAUUUUGGGGGAUGGAUACCCAUGUUCAGGCCUGUGCAUUAUUACUGUCUUUGUUUUUGGUUUUGUCUGUAAUGGAUAUAAUUUCUAAUUUUUCAUAGAUUUUGGCAAUUAAGCAAUUACCGUUAUUACUUUUCUUUUUCUUGCUUCUGGCUCUUCAUGCUCUGUCAGAAAUAUGGUGUGUUUUUACUUUUUAGAUUUGGAUCAAAUGGUUGUGGAAUCGAACGAUCACGCGUGGCGCCGGAGUCCGGAUUUUGGUCGAUGGGGACCUUGAUGGAAAAAUCAUUAACUAUAGUAGGUUAUAAUAUAAAACUUAUAAAAUUGGGAGACCAACAGUACAGUAGGGGUCACAAUGGAGGAUCUAUAAAACAAAGUUAUAAAAAUUAAAUACAAAUACGAGGUUCCAAAUGCAAAAUGUACAUAAAAUUGGUAAAGUUUCUUCAAUGCAGUUCUCGGAUUUUGGUACAUUUUCAAUGUUUGUGAUUUUGAUAAAGAUCAUGACUUAUUUAUCCUUAUUAAAUUUUUUUUUUUCAAUAGAAUCCUUAUUAAAUUUUUAAUUUAUGAUCAAUGGUGAUUAAUUUUGUCUUCCUUUUUAUGGGAUUGUGGUAACUUGGAUGACUAAAAGAAACAAAACAAUCCAAGCUACUGCCCAAGGAUCUGAUCAAAGAUCAAUCAAGAUGCAAACUAGAGUGUAUCUGAAUAAGAACAACGAAUUGACUUGAGCAAUCUAACAAGAAACUCAAUAAAUAAGCAAGAUUCCAACGAAAGCUAAAACAGAUCAAAGGAAAAACAGAGACACAAGCGACUACAUGGUCCAGCCACUUCUCAGUGACCUAUCUGUUGAUGCCAAAAUCCGGAUGAGUUUGUCAAAUCUCAGAUCCAUACAUCAUCAUUAAAUUUGUUUGGUGAGAAGCUGAUGAUUAGUUAGCACCAUGAGCAGACGAUCCAUGAGCAGAUAACCCAUGAGCAGACGAUCCAUGAGCAGACGAUCUAUGAGCAGACGAUCCAUGAGCAGAUAACCUAUGAGCAGACGAUCUGUGAGCCUGUGAACACAACCAAUAGUCAGGAGGUGCCGGAAGUUUUUCCGGCGAGAACCCUCCGACGCUCAAGUCAGUGAUUCGGGUCUUACUUGAAAAAACCCAUACCACAAUUCAUGUGGCUUAAUUAUGAUUGCUUGAAAUAAAACUCUUUUAAGUAAAUUUAAAGGAAAAGAAUUUGAAAUAAUCAAUCUUAAAGAAAUCACAGGCGAGAGAGAAAUUUCUCAGUGGUAGAGAGAGAAAAAUGUCCAAUGGGUUCAGUUGCUUAGAGAGAGAGAGCUCCAAGCCCCCUUUCCUUUCCUUUUCUAGGGUUUUUAUAGAAAACUAUAGCGGUUUUCAUCCACUAAGAAUAUGGUCCCUAAUAUUUCGGAGAAAAUGUUUUGACUGAAUCGUGCUUUCUGGUAACUUCCUAGUCGAGGUGACCAAUAACAUCCCGGUCGAGGUGAUGUGCUCGAGGUCACCACAUAUUAUUCUGGUCGAGGUGAUGUGCUCGAGGUCACCACAUAUUAUUCUGGUCGAGGUGAUCUGCUCGAGGUCACCACAUAUUAUUCUGGUCGAGGUGAUCUACUCGAGGUCACCACAUAUUAUUCUGGUCGAGGUGACCAACAAUAUCCUGAUCAGAGGUGAUCUGCUCGAGGUCACCACAUAUUAUUCUGGUCGAGGUGAUCUGCUCGAGGUCACCACAUAUUAUUCUGGUCGAGGUGAUCUGCUCGAGGUCACCACAUAUUAUUCUGGUCGAGGUGAUCUGCUCGAGGUCACCACAUAUUAUUCUGGUCGAGGUGACCAAUAAUAUCCUGGUCAAAGUGAUCUGCUCGAGGUGACCAAUAACAUCCUAGUCGAGGUGAUCUGCUCAACUAUUUGCUCACUUUUACUCUGGAGGAGAGCGCGAUAAUGUAUGAGCAAACACCUUUAUCUUGGUCACCCUAUUUCAUUCCCUAAACACUAUCUCUAUGGGGAAGAAAUCGAUCAGCCCCGUUGAUUAUUUCAAUGGCGAUUACAAGAAAUUGUAAAACUGUUUACAGAGAAUUGAAUACCGGUUUCUCUCUCCACAAUCACUCUCCAAAAUGCCUUUCCAGAUUGCCUAGAAAGCUGCCACGUACUUCAACAGUUAUGACAACCUUUGCUUAAGCUGCCCACCAGACUCGCUUAAUGAACCACCAGAACGCGAAAAUGCUACGCCGUUUUGAUGUUAUGGAAUCAAUUAAAAGGUCACAUGAGAAGCACAUGACUAACUUAAAACAUCAAUCAGGCUGAUACAUUGUCGUUUCACCAUUCCGGUUUUGAUUCGCAUCGAUCUCGACAAUAAUGGACUUGGAAUACAAAGUUUCAAACUUUGAGACGAUCGCCACUUUGUGCUUUUUAUUUGAAAGCAUGAGCAAAUAAACUAAGUUGUCGGUUUCGAAUUUUCUAUCCCAAAGGCGAACUAAUUGGCAAGUGUAGCUUAUUGGGUGGGGUGGCAAAACGAAUAAUCGAAUCGAAAUAUUCGGAUUUAAUUCAUUUAUUAAAUGAAUAUUCAAUUUGAUUUGUUUAAUUCGUUUAAUAGAAUUAAUAAACGAAUCCAAUCCAAUCCAAUCUAAAUUCGUUUAUUAUUCAUUUAUCAUAAUAAUAAACUAACACAUAAUGAUCGAAUUGAAUAUGAAUUCGUUUACAAAAAUUAAAUAAAUAAUACAAACCAUAAAAGUUUUCAUCUCAUCUAUAUAUUGUCUUAUUAUUAUUAUUUAUAAUUACUAGAUUAACCUUCAAAUUUUAAAAUUUUUUCAUAAAUAUUUAAAAAUAAAUAAGUAAUUUAUUAAACGAAUAGAUUGUAUUCGAUUCGUUUAUAACCCAUUUAUUUAACGAAUUCUAAACGAAUAAACAAAUUAGUGUCUUUAAAUCCAAAUCGAAUCGAAUUCACCCAUUUAUUAAAUGAAUCAAUAUUUUAAAACUCAAACUUAUUUAAUUCGCUUCAAAUCGAAUCGAAUAAAUGAAUCUUGACCCAAAUUGCCGUCCCUAUACUAUUGGGUUACCAUAUUCUUCGAAAAUGAGUCUUCAAUUCUAUUUUGGAUUCGAUGUCCAAUUAGUGUUUAUGUCAAAAAAAAGCACAAAGUAAUAAUUGAAGAAGGUAACUAAAGAUGAAAGAUUAGAAGGUCAAGUGUCCAUGACAACGUAGCAAAACAUUUUAAUUAUUUAUAUUUUAAUAAAUAGUGUAGAACCUUUGAAUCUGUAUUACGUGAUUGUGUCGUAUGCAUCAACAAGUCAUCUUUCUAGAAGACAAGUUCUUAUUUUAAUUUUUUUUAAAAUUUUUUUCAUUGGUUAGUCAAUGGAUAUACUCGUUCUACACAUGUUAUUAUGUUGUUCUUUUUGAAAUUAGUAAAAUACAUUAAAAAUGGCUUAAAAGAAUUGUCAAUACUCAACAAUACAUCACCACGAUUAUACACGAACUACAAGAUUAUACGCGAUCAAAUACAUUAUUUAAGACAAAACAUAAGACUCGAGCCUUAAUUACAAGAUGUUUGAUAACAAGGAUACAUAGUAGAGUCUUUUCAUAUUUAUUAGAACUAAAAGAAGAAUAAACAGCCCCAUUUAUUAAAGUACAAUGAGAUGGAUAAAGAUCCUCUCUUGAUCUGAGUUCUCAUGAACUUUUAAUAAUUUUGUGUCAUGUGUAUUUAAGUAAUAGUGUAUGAGUAUAAUUUUAACUUAUUCAUUUUCUUUUUUUAUUAACUAUCAAUUAUCAUGUGUAUUUUUGCUCAGGAGCAUAUCAGAUCAUGAGAGAAUGAGGAGAUGAGAUCAUGAGAGAAUUCUAAUACACAAUGAGUUAGAUGAAAAAUUUUAUACCAAUGAAUUAGUGAAUCCAUGUCAACUAUUGUAGGUGGAGAUCACAUUCCAAUAAGAAAUAAAAUAUUGUUGUUAUCGCCGUUAAAUUAUACAUUAAUUUAUCGCCUUUUAUUGUCAUCGAUAAUAAUUAAAAAAAUGCAAUGGGCUGGUCACUUUAACGGAACUAGUUCGAAUUUCAGCUGCAAAAAUAUUUAUUUAUUUAUUUUAAUUUAGGCCUUACUUCUAAUUAGUGCAUAUUUCUAACUUUUUUAGUGUGUGCGAUUAUAUGUAUAUAAAUUUUUAGCCGACUAUAAAUUACCAGAUAUAUGCAACCGGUAGCAAUUUAAGUAAAAACAAUAAUUUGAUAAUAACUUUAUACUUUUCUCGGACACACUCAUAAUUUCGAAUUUUCAAUUUUCUUUGUAAGUUGAGCUCUUGUGCCUCGGAUACAAUGGUCCCAAGACCAUGGAAUCAUUACCUCUUGAGUCUCGAGUGAUUCCGUGUUUCUUGCUGAGUAGGUAACUGAGCUCGAUAUAUACCCUUCACACCUCGCCAAUUCAGUAUAUCGCAUAUCUUAUCAUCAAACAAGCAGGCAACCGAGUCUCUCUCUCUCUCAUUUCUUGCAUAUUACAAGAGGCUCCUCUGUUUUUCUUGUUCAAUUCCUCUGUUUCUCCUCUGUUUUUCAUCAAACAUGUCUCGAUUGAAAUUGAAGUAUACCCAUUUCAAGAAAAUGGAAUACGAAGCAUAUAAGCUCAUGAAGAAGCAAAAUCUUCGCCUGCCACCAAAAAGAGGCCAAGUUUUGAAGAAGAUAUUGAAGGAAUUGUUCGGAUCAGCUGGAGGAAAGAGAAGGAGAAAUGGAGUGGGUCGUGGUGGGCUUAGCUAAAGCUCAUCAACCCCAGCUGAAACUCCUAGUGGCUACAGUUCAGAUGCGGCCUCUGAGUCAAGCUCUCAACUUUAAUUAGCGUCUAAUCACGGCUGAUUUUUGUUUUUUGUUUUUUUAAUUCAUUUUCUUUUCAUUGCUUGUGUCUGAUGACUGAUGGAAGGAAGAGAUGGGUACCCUUGUAUAGACAUGUAUAUUAUUAAUAAUCUUUUUUUUAUUUUAUUUUUUGUAAUAAUGUUUUAUACUGAGUAAAACUUCGAUUUUGUAAAGCCCUGCCUCUUCUCUGUCUGAAAAUCUGGGAAGCAAAUUCGUGUUUGAAAAAAAAAAAAUUGAGGAGAUGAGUACUGAGUUGAUUCAUUGAAUGAUAUCAUGGUUCUUACUUCUGAGAUUAUGAUACAUUUCCAUAUUUUGUGAUUCUGAUGAUGAUCAUGAUUGUAUAUUCAUUUUCUUGAUCGACGGCGAUUAUGCAUCUCCUCUGUCUUCCAUUUUUCGGCGACUCCUACACACAGUAACUUCGCUGGGCCAGUGGGUUUGAUGUUGAUGUUCAAACUUUGAAUGGCUCGUCGCUUUCUAAAACAAUCUUUUUCACUUGUCAGUUUGACGGCUUCUACCCUGAUCGUGAAAAAACAAUUGGUAACUUGAUGCAUUAUGUAAUCAGGGGCUGACCUCCCUCUGGGACUUUGAAAAAAAAAAUGCAUAAAUAUGUAAUUUUAGUUUUUAAAAUAUAAUUUUUUGUAAUCUCAUUCUGAUAAGAUUAAUAUUUUAUCGGUUUAAAAUUUUUCAACUUCAACUUCUAAAAUUUUGUUUUUAAAAGUUUUGGCCCCUCUAAAAUUUUAGUGCUAGCUUCGUCCCGUGACGUAAUUUUAUAACCUUUUUUUUGUAAAUAGUAUCCUAGUUGUUAACCCGACAACCCUGCAUAAUAUGGACCUGUCUUCGUCCUGUACCUUACAGCUACUCUUGCACAAUAAACUGAAAAGUGAGCCCAAGUGGGAUCUACGGCCAUUUUGUGAGAGUGUUGUAAGGUACAGAUUCUGUACCGUAGCAUUCUCCUUAGAUCACAUACACAUAUAUAGUCUCAUUAUAGCAACCGCAGAAAAGCUAACUCCAUGUAAAUUUCCUUCUCCAACAAGCAAAAGUAGUUCAAACUCAAUUCUUACACGUUACAAGCUGUGAGGCUAUAUGUCUAGCUAGAACCUUCUAAUCGUAACAUAAUUUGAUCGAAGGUUAGGUAAUUUUCGCAGUUUCUGAUAAUAUUAAAAAUUGUAAGUCAACGUGAAGCACUGGAAUUUAUAAUUGGCUUGCCAUCGUUAUCCAAUCUCUCUAAUUUUUUUUCCACGUGCUCUUAAGACUUCUUCACUCCUAGAGAUUUUCCUUCGCCUCCAAGAAACUUUCAAAAUGAUGACAAUUUAAGCCACCAUUAAUUCUCUCUCUAGAAUGAUAGUGUGAUACGUUUAGUUUGAGCCUCAUUUUGUGCAAACUGUUGCAACGUUAGUUUUUUUUUUUUGUUUUUUUUAGACUGAUUAAUCAUCAGAUUACUGCAUUACACAGAUAUUUACAACAACUGCUUAUUGUAGUAGAGGUAUUACACUGAUAUUUACAAUCAGAUAUACAUGAUUGGGACUUACAUUAUAUUUACAACAACUGCUUAUUGUAGCAGAGGUAUUACACUUAUAUUUACAAUCAGAUAUACAUGAUUAGGACUUACAUUAUUACAAUGAAUUCUAUGAAGUACAUGCCCAAUACAAAUAACCUCUCACAGGAGAGGAUGUUAAUACUCCACUUGCAUUUCGCAAGGGAGAAUGAUAUAAAGAACAUUUAGCCCCCACAAUGCUUUUGUGGGGGAUAGAACCACUGCCCUCACAAUGCUUGUGAGGGCAGCAGCCCACCACUUCGGCCAAGGCCGAAGUGGCGUUGCAACGUUAGUUUGUUUGUGCCUUGUAGCAUCAAAAUCAGAUCUAUUUUAGUUUGACACUAUAUACACACACAUACAAACCGGAGGAAAAAUCAAUAUGUGAGAAAGUGGAAACAUAAAAUUUACAUAGAAAGGUGUUAUCUUUUAAUUAAAGUCCUUAUUUUACAUCAUUUCAAUAACAAUAAUGAUAAUUUACGAAAUUGAGAUAUAAAGAAAAUUUAAUAAUAAUAAUAAUAUGAUCGAAGUUCUUCCAUAUAUGCACUUACUAUAAUUAGUCAUUGAAUAUUUUCAUUUCCUAUGAAUGAUAAAUAUUAUAUUAGUUGCACAUUAAUUAAGAUAUAAAUUUUAUAUUUCAACUUUAUACGUAUACCAUUACUCUCUUAAAAAUAUAGUGUGCUUACCUCACUUACAGUUUAGUUCCAUCUCUAACCUCAUUUUCCUCAAAUAUCCCUUGCUCAUCCUGUCUACUCUUUAUAACGGCCUACCUAGGUUUUAUCAACAUCAACGAACCAUAAAGAACACUCAUAAUCUAAUCUUUGCACCAGACAACUUACAAAACAAAAUUUAUUGGAUUUAAUAUGACUCAACCAAGAUUUAGUUAAAACACACGCGUUUAUGGAUUGAAUGAAGAAUAGUAGGAGAUACAUUGUUUGUAUUGUUAGUAAGAGUAUAUUUUUUGAGCUACCUUUAGUAAUUUUUAGAUCAUAUUAUGCAUGUAGAGUUGUAAGAAUUCUAAAUUGUAAUACAUUGUAGAUUUGCAACCAGUGAGAAGAAAAUUAUUAUGUUUCAUUAUUAUAUAAUAAUUUGGUUUUGCUUUCAUAAUCUUUGAAAAUAUUUAAUGCCACGGCCAUUUUAAUUAUGCAUGUCACUUAACAUCCAUCGAAUAUACCUUGAGAGAAAAAAAUAUAAUUUAAAUAUCCUUUAGAGAGAUAAUUAAGCCACUAGGCUUUAAUAUAGUAGUUAGAACCCAAACCUCAUAAUUAGGAGAUCAUGGGUUCGAGCCCCACAUUGCAUUAUGGUGGUUUAAUUUACUUCCUUAAUUUGAGUGAAGAUAAUAUUCUCCCUUUCGAAUAUUAGAGGGUAAAAAUUUGGACAGUACAGUAGACGUCCUUCGAAUAUUAGAGAGUAUAAAAAUCUAACUAGUCUUGUUAAUAAUUUGAUUUAUAAAUAUAAGUUAUAAUCUAAUGUAAUAUGAGUUGUACUCUUGAACAAUAAUCUCAUAUAUAUAUAUAAGAAUUAAUCACCAAUAACGAAGAGAACUACUGAUUCCAAAGUAUAAUCCUAACCCAUUCAAAUUAACUAAUUUGAUAUACUUUAGGAUCAAUGUUUUAUUAAAAUUCAAAAGUUAAAAGCGUGUCAAUACAGACAAUGUAUGUCCUGCUAUUCUUUGUUCAAUCCAUACAUAAACAUGUGUGUUUAAACUAAAUGUUGAUUAAAUCAUAUUAAACCCAAUAUUUUUUUUUUGUUUUGUAAGUUGUGUGGUGCAAAGACUAAAUUAUGAGUGUUCUUUAUGGUUCUCUAAUAAAACCUAGGUACGCAGUUAUAAGGAGUAGACAGGGUGAGCAAGGGACAUUUGGAUGUGGAGUCAAACUGUAAGUGAGAUAAGUGCACCACAUUUUUUAGAGAUAAAUAGUACUUAUAAAGUUGAAACAUAAAAUUUGUAUCUUAAUUAAUGUUGCCACCGAUAUAAUAUUCAUCAUUCAAAUGAGAAAUGAAAAUAUUCAAUGACUAAUUAUCAUAAGAGCAUAUAAAAUAACAUCAUAUUAUUUGGAUACAAACUUUAUAUCUCAACUUUAUAAAUUUAUCAUCAUUGUUAUUAAAACAAUAGCCAUGGCUACCUUGAAGUUGCUCUAAACUAGAUUAAGAAUCAUAACCACAUACGCAAAGUGAUAAAUAGUAAAAAAAUACAUUAUAAUCUUAAUCGUGUGAUUAUAAAAAAAGUGCUCUACCGUAGAUACAUAAUAAGGACUUUAAUUAAAAUAUAACAUCUUUUUAUGUAAAUUUUAUGUUUUCAGCUUUCUCAAAUAUUCAUCUUUCCUCCAAUAUAUAUAUAUAUAUAAUUGUCAAACUAAAAUAGAUCUGAUUUUGAUACCACAGGACACGAACAAACUAACGUUGCAACAGUUUGCACAAAAUCAGACUCGAACUGUAUAUCACUAUCAUAGCAGAGAAAGAAUUAAUAGUAGCUUAAUUUGUCAUCAUUUUAAAAGUUUAUUGGGCGGCGAAGGAAAAUCUCUAGGAGGAGUGAAGAAAUCUUAAGCCGGUAUGACCAGCAUGCGGCAAAAUUAGAGAGAUUGGAUAAUGAUGGUGAGCCAACUAUAAAUAUCAGUCCCUCCCGUUGAGUUUCAACUUUUAAUAUUUUCAGAAUCCUCGAAAGUUACCUAACCUUCAAUGCCUGCACUCAGUCGUUACAUGGGCUUAACCUUAAUUUAUUGUCGCAAAGACGAAUUUAUAUGUGUGCGCGCGCGCGUGAUUCCACAGUUUAUAUUUAUAAAUAAGUAAUAAUUUAGACACUAUUAUGUAGUGUUGCCGAGUUAACAAUUCAGAUACUACUUACCCCAAAAAAAAUAUAUAUAUAUAGAAUUGCGUCCACUAAGGAGCGAUCACUAAAAUUUUAGACGGCUAAACUUUAUAAAAAUAAUUUUUUUAGAAGUUAAAAAAAUUAAACUUAUAAAAUAAUAAAUUUAUCGGAAUGAAAUUAUGAAAAAUAAUAUUUUAAAAACUAAAAUUAUAAAUAUCUUAUGCGUAUUUAUGUAAUAUUAUAAAGUCUGAAAGGGAGAUCAGCCCACGAUUAAUUACAUCAAGUAUACAAUUACCAAAUUUUUACGCCAUCGGAGUAGAAGCCGUCAAACUGGCUAAGUUAAAAAGGUUGUUUUUAAAAAGCGACCAGCCAUUCAAAGUUUGAACAUCCACAUCAAACCCACUAACCCAGCGAAGUUAUUAUGUGUAGGAGUCGCCGAAAAAUGGAAGACAGAGGAGAUGCACAAUCACCGUUGAUCAAGAAAAUGAAUAAACAGUCAUGAUCAUCAUCAGAAUCACAAAACAUGGAAAAUGUAUCAUAAUCUGAGAAGUAAGAACCAAGAUAUCAUUCAAUGAAUCAAUUCCGUACUCAUCUCCUCAAAUUUUAUUUUAUUUAAAAAAAAAACACGAAAUUGCUUCCAAGAUUUUCAGACACAGAAUAUGUUAGAGCUUUAGAAAACCAAAGUUUUACUCGGUAUAAACAUUAUUACAAAAAUAAAAAUUAAAAAAUUUAUUAGUAAUAGACAUGUCUAAACAAGGGCACCCAUCUCUAAUUAUCAUUACAUAUCUCAACUUCGUAAAUUAUCAUUAUUGUUAUUGAAAUAAUGUAAAAUAAGGAAUUUAAUUAAAAGAUAACAUCUUAAUUUCUAUGUAAAUUUUAUGUUUCCACUUUCUCACAUAUUGAUCUAUACAGGGCACAAACUAACUAAUGUUGGAUAAUAAUGGUUAGCCAAUUAUAAAUUUCAGUCCCUCAAGUUGACUCACAAUUUUUAAUAUUAUCAGAAUCAGCGAAAAUGACAUAUCGCCUCACAGCUUGUAACGUGUAAGAAUUGAAUUUGAACUAUUUUUGCUUAUUGGAGAAGAAAAUUUACAUGGAGUUGGCUUUUCUGUGGUUGCUAUAAUAAUGCGUGUGUGUGUGUAAUCUAGAUACCUAUUAUACAGUGUUGUUGGCUUAACGACUAUGAUGCUAUUUAUAAAAAAAAAUUAAAUUAAAUUAAAUUACGUCACGGGAUGGAGUUAGGACUAAAAUUUUGGAGGGCCCAAAACUUUUUAAAAACUUUUAAAAAACAAAAUUUUGGUAGUUGAAGUUGAAAAAUUUUAAACUGAUAAAAUGUUAAUUUUAUCGGAACGAAAUUAUGAAAAAUUAUAUUUUAAAAAUUAAAAUUAUUAAUAUCUUAUACAUAUUUAUGUAAUUUUUUAUUAUUUUUAGAAAAUGAGACUGUUCCCACAAUAAGCACUGAACGGUGCGUUUAGGGUGUGGUAUAAAAUGACCCAUCUCACGUGACACACACAUACCCGCCACAACACACGCGCAAUAAAUCUCACGCGACACACAUCGUUUCUCCAUUUGCUUUCUCUACUCUCAUAGAAAUCUCACCGUUUCUCCAUCUGCUCAUCCUCUCGCUUUCUCUUGCCGUGUGCCUCUCUUUGUUCCCCGUCCUCUCGCUUUCUCUCGCAAUAGGUCUCUCGCCGUGGGUUUCUCCAUCUGCUCUCUCUCUCUCUUCUCUGUCCUCUCUAUUCUCUUGCCGUCGAUUCCCCCUCCGUUCUCACUGUCGAUUGCAUCUCUCAGCUUGCUUUAGCUUUACUCUCUCAACUUCAGUGGUCAUUAGCUGACGUAGUCGAUUUCCGUGAGUUGAUUAUGAAUUUUUGAAAAUCCAACUGAUAUUGUGAGCAAAUGAGACAGUUUUAAUUGCACUUGGAUUGAUGUGCAAAUUAGUUUAGAUAGGUUUGAUUUGUAAUUGCAUUUUCGAUAGUCUUAGGAGAUGGCCUUGUGCCGGAGAUGGCACCAUGAUCACUAUAACUGGAGCUUGUUUUAUGCCAUUAUAGUUUUGGUAAAAUACCAAUCCAGAUGAAAUUGUUGCUGUAUUUUGUCAUAAUCCAAAUCCUAAAUGAUAUAGCAGCUGCUGCUACGAGCUUCCGUUAUUUGAUAAAUUUAUGGGAUUGCCCUUGAUGACAUUAAAAACCUAACAACUGAUUCUAUAAUCUGAGAAUGAAACAUAUUUGCAGCGUGUUCUAUAAUGUGCAAGGCUUAUUCUGAUGAUAAUCUUAAAAGGAAACUUAUUUGAAUAGAACAUGUUGUGAAUAUGAACAAGCAAAAUGGCUUGGGAGAAUUAGCUGCUGAGAUUUCUAGCUUGAGUGAGGAGUGGAUUUGGUGUGAAUGAGAGUGAGAGUGAUGGAGAAUGCGUGUGUGAGAUCUAAUGCGUGUGUGAGAUUUAAUGCGUGUGUGAGAUCUAAUGCGCGUGUAUUGUGUUUGUGUGUUCAAAUAGUAGCCUUUUAUAUUGCACACAAAACGCACCGUUCGGUGCUUAUUGGGGGCUGAAUAUGGGUAAUUUUUAAAAAGAAUUAUUAGCUAUUUUACACUUUUUAAAUUAUUGAUAUUUUCUUAAAGUUCCUAUAAAAAAGUUAAAAUUAAAAAAUUAAAAAAUCCUCUUUAAAUUAUUGAUAUUUCCUUAAAAUUCCUACAAGAAAGAUAAAAUUAAAAAUUUAAAAAUGAAAUAGUCAUAAUCUUUACCUAUGAUAUUGUAAAUUUUUAGAAUUGACAAGGAUAAAAUUGUCAAAAAAUAGGGUUUGUGCUUUUUGCACCAAUAAUUUUGGUUUUUUUUUAGUUAUUUUCGUUUACAAACUAUUGUUAAGGGUAAUAUUGUCUUUGCAUGGUUAACUAACGGUCAAUGUUAAACUUAACUGACGGUAGGAGGUUUUUUACAAAUAAAUCAAUUCUCGCCAUCUACUUGCAACAAGCCCAUACCUCAGGGGAGGUUUUAAAAAAUUAUCCGGCUGAAUAUCGGUGCUGAUUAAUUUUUUCGAAGUCUCAGACUCAGAGGGAGAUCAGCCCCUGAUUACAUAAUGCAUCCAAUUACCAAUUUUUUUCGCGAUCAGAGUAGAAGCCGUCAAACUGAUAAGUUAAAAAGGUUGCUUUAGAAAGCGACGAGCCAUUCAAAGUUUGAACAUCAACAUCAAACCCACUAACCCAGCGAAGUUAUUGUGUGUAGGAGUCGGCCGAAAAAUGGAAGACAGAGGAGAUGCAUAAUCGCCGUCGAUCAAGAAAAUGAAUAUACAAUCAUGAUCAUCAUCAGAAUCACAAAAUAUGGAAAUGUAUCAUAAUCUCAGAAGUAAGAACCAUAAUGUCAUUCAAUGAAUCAAUUCAGUACUCAUCUCCUCAAUUUUUUUUUUAAAUUUUUAAAAAACACGAAAUUGCUUCCCAGAUUUUCAGACACAGAAGAUGCAGGGCCUUGCAAAAUCAAAGUUUUACUCAGUAUCAAACAUUAUUACAAAAAAUAAAAUAAAAAAAGAUUAUUAAUAACAUACAUGUCUAGACAACAAGGGUACCAUCUCGGCCUAGUGCCUUCCAUCAGUCAUCAGACACAAGCAAUGAAAAGAAAAUGAAUUAAAAACAAAAAAAAAAAAAAAAAUCAGCCGUGAUUAGACGCUAAUUAAAGUUGAGAGCUUGAUCAAGAAUCAAGACUCAGAGGCCGCAUCUGAACUGUAGCCACUAGGAGUUUCAGCUGGGGUUGAUGAGCUUGAGCUAAGCCCACCACCACCACCAAGUCCAUUUCUCCUUCUCUUUCCUCCAGCUGAUCCGAGCAAAUCCUUCAAUAUUUUCUUCAAAACUUGGCCUCUUUUUGGUGGCAGGCGAAGGUUUUGGUUCUUCGUGAGCUUAUAUGCUUCGUACUCCAUUUUCUUGAAAUGGGUAUACUUCAAUUUCAAUUCGAGAGAUGUUUGAUGAUAAGUGAUUUGCGAUAUACUGAAUUGGCGAGAAGGGAAGAUUUAUAGCGAACUCAGUUACUUACUUGCUAAGUAUUUUGCAAUGCAGAUUUGAGUGAGUGGUAGUAGUACCACUGAAUCAUUGACUCAAGACUCAAAGAGGUAAUGAUUCCAUGGUCUUGGGACCAUUGUAUCCGAGGUACAAGAGCUUAACUUACAAAAAAAGAAAAUUGAAACUUGA
Molecule: long non-coding RNA, 15965 nt
Filed under: Citrus sinensis (sweet orange)
Lineage: Eukaryota; Viridiplantae; Streptophyta; Magnoliopsida; Sapindales; Rutaceae
Description: long non-coding RNA (CSIN_LNC003656)
Source: RNAcentral